Molecule: ribosomal RNA, 497 nt
Filed under: uncultured bacterium
Lineage: Bacteria
Description: partial 16S ribosomal RNA
Rfam family: Bacterial small subunit ribosomal RNA
Source: RNAcentral
GAUGAACGCUGGCGGCGUGCCUAAUACAUGCAAGUCGAGCGAACGGACGAGAAGCUUGCUUCUCUGAUGUUAGCGGCGGACGGGUGAGUAACACGUGGAUAACCUACCUAUAAGACUGGGAUAACUUCGGGAAACCGGAGCUAAUACCGUAUAAUAUUUUGAACCGCAUGGUUCAAAAGUGAAAGACGGUCUUGCUGUCACUUAUAGAUGGAUCCGCGCUGCAUUAGCUAGUUGGUAAGGUAACGGCUUACCAAGGCAACGAUGCAUAGCCGACCUGAGAGGGUGAUAGGCCACACUGGAACUGAGACACGGUCAAGACGACUACGGGAGGCAGCAGUAGGGAAUCUUCCGCAAUGGGCGAAAGCCUGACGGAGCAACGCCGAGUGAGUGAUGAAGGUCUUCGGAUCGUAAAACUCGGUUAUUAGGGAAGAACAGAUGUGUAAGUAACUGUGCACAGCUUGACGGUAACUAAUCAGAAAGCCACGGCUAACUACGUG